RNAcentral lists this ribosomal RNA (497 nucleotides) under uncultured bacterium. Its description in RNAcentral is "partial 16S ribosomal RNA". It matches the Rfam family "Bacterial small subunit ribosomal RNA", at positions 28 to 507 of the family's 1533-position model. The record is from RNAcentral.
GACGAACGCUGGCGGCGUGCUUAACACAUGCAAGUCGAGCGAACGGGCGAGAUGCUUGUUUCUCUGUUGGGAGCGGCGGACGGCGGAGGAAUAAGUGGAUAGUCUACCUAUAAGACCGGGAUAACUUCGGGAAACCGGAGCUACUACCAGAUAAUAUUUUGAACCGCAGGGUUGAAAAGUGAAAGACGGACUUUCUUUCAGUUGUAGAUGGAUCCGCGCCGCAUUAGCUAGUUGGUAGGGUGACGGCUUACCAAGGCAACGACGCAUAGCCGGCCUGAGAGGGUGGUCGGCGGCACUGGAGCUGAGGAGCGGUCCACACUCCUACGGGAGGCGGCAGUAGGGAAUCUUCCGCAAUGGGCGAAGGCCGGACGGCGCAGCGCCGCGUGGGGAGUGAAGGUCUUCGGCUCGUAGAGCUCUGUUUUUGGGGGAGAACAAAGGUGUAAGUGGCUGUGCAGGUCUUGACGGUAGCUGGUCAAAAAGCCACGGCUAACUACGUG